UACGUAGGGGGCAAGCGUUGUCCGGAAUCAUUGGGCGUAAAGAGCGCGUAGGCGGCCCAGUAAGUCCGCUCUGAAAGUCAGGGGCUCAACCCCUGAAUGCGGGUGGAUACUGCUGGGCUAGAGUCCGGAAGAGGCGAGUGGAAUUCCUGGUGUAGCGGUGAAAUGCGCAGAUAUCAGGAGGAACACCGAUGGCGAAGGCAGCUCGCUGGGACGGUGACUGACGCUGAGGCGCGAAAGCGUGGGGAGCGAACAGG
RNAcentral lists this ribosomal RNA (254 nucleotides) under uncultured bacterium. RNAcentral's name for it is "partial 16S ribosomal RNA". It matches the Rfam family "Bacterial small subunit ribosomal RNA", at positions 524 to 776 of the family's 1533-position model. The record is from RNAcentral.